Molecule: long non-coding RNA, 13723 nt
Filed under: Lactuca sativa (garden lettuce)
Lineage: Eukaryota; Viridiplantae; Streptophyta; Magnoliopsida; Asterales; Asteraceae
Description: long non-coding RNA (LSAT_LNC000256)
Source: RNAcentral
UUUACUCAAAAAUUUUUACUGCAGCAGGGAUUCGAUAUCGAUAAGCAGAUGAUAUUUUCCACAAAUGAAACACAUCUUUUCUUUAUACAUACACACAAUACAUUAGGGUUAGAGCGUCUUUCUGCGGCGCUGGCGCAAGUGAGAGAUCGGAGAAAAAGAGAGGGAUGGGAGAACGUCGGUGGUGGGUGUUUUCUGGCGAGCAAUGGCUUUCCGGCAGAGUUGGGUUUAGACCCAGCUGCUUAAUUUUCAUUAUAGUUGAUGAUUUCGGUGUGUAGACGCCCGGGUUCUUGCCGCUUAGACAGAGAGAGAUCGACAACGUGUGUGGGUGUUUGGCUUAUUUUCUGUUUAGAAGCCUUUUCCGAUGAUCUCCGGUAGCCUUGAUUGAAAGUAAACACGGUAGAAGACACAUGGGGAUGUAUAGAGCAAAGUGGAGGCUGCCACCCCAGUUACACCGAGCAUACGGGCAUACCGCCGCAUACAUUGUGCAUUAAUGUUCAGGUUGGAAACUCCAUCGUGUUACGAAUCCUUUGUUAACUUCGAUGGCAUAAGGAGACAUUACUGUCAUACUGGUGGGAGAGGUACGUUCUUUGAAGUUUUUUAUUAAUUUCUAUAUGUAAUAAAAUAAUGCAUAGGGAUAUAAUUAUAGUCCUUAGUCUUUUAACACUAUUAGUUUUAACUUAAAAAAAAAACAAAUCAUUCAAAAUGCAUUGUUUGUUUAUUACUAUUAAUUCUUUAAUACUUGUUCCAAUAAACAAUCGAAAGAAGAUUCCCUGCAGCUAAGAAAUAUAUAAUACAAUAUACCUAAAUGAAAAAAAUAUAUGGAUAAUUAGCAUAUGCUCGUUCUUGUACAAGGCUCUUGUGACUGUGAAGAGAUUUCUUAUCUUCAUGAUAUUUAUAUAUAUGUUUUUUUCAUUAGUACUAUAUCAAAGCUCUUUUUAGCUACAGCAAAGUCAAAGUGGAGUAAAAGUAGUAAACAAUAGUCAUAGAUAUUGAGGAACUAGGAGUUAAAAUAGGAAAAAAUUUAGUGAUGCAAAAAGAAAAAUUUCAAGUUUUUUUUUUCCUCGGAUAUAUUACUAUGCUUGAUUUUAUGAUUUUUAUUUUCCUUUUAGAUUUUUUUUCAAUUUCUUUAAGGUGUUUCUUUAAGGUGUCGUCACAAUAGAUAGUUAAGUUCAAAUGUUUCUACUGUCUAUUGUGUGCAUGAUUAAUUCUGGAUCAAUCAUUUUAGUUAUUUUAAUAAAAUAAUUAAUGCAUAUUAAAUGCUGAAAAUUUAAUAUGCAUUAUUUAUGUGAAUAUUAUUUUAUAGUUUUUUGAUUUAAUUACAAAAGUGUCACUUUGUAAAGUAAAUUAAAAAAUAAUUUUUGUUUUCAAAUGUUUUGGUAAUAAGAAAUAUUUUCAAUUAGUCCACCACCAAUAACCACCCGUCACUACCAACUACCACCCACCAAUCACUACUAGCACCUAUCACCACGACCAACCUACACCACCUAUCACCACCACCCGCCACCACCACCCCACCCAUCACCCACCAAUACCACCACCAUUGACAACAACCACCCACCAUCACUACCACCGACCACCAUUACCCACCAUCAUUACCAACACAAGCCACCCACCAACCAUCAUCCAUUACCACCACCCGUCUUCACUACCCAUCACCCACUAAAACCACAACCACCACCACCCGCCACCACUAACCACCAAGCACCAUCCAUCACUACUACCCACCACCAUCACUACCACCCCCACCACUAUCACUACCACCAACUACCACCCCCACCACCAACACCCGCCUCUACCACCAACCACUACCACCCACCACUAUUACCAUCACCCACCACCAUCCAUCACCACCACCACCUGCCUCUACCACCCAUCACCACCACUUGUCACCAAAACCAUCACCACUACCACCCACCACCACUACCCAUUACACAUCACUCGCCUCCACCACCCAUCACUACCGCUCGUCACCAUCAUCACCGCCACCCGCCACUACCAUCUCUAUUAUCAACCACUAUUCACCCACAUCAUCACCACCUACCACCACAUAUGAUUUACGUCGAAAAAAUUUGUUUCCGUAUGGUGCUAGGAUAUUAGUUUUUUUUUUAUUUCAUUGCAAUAUAUUUGGAGAUUUAUAACCUCAAUUGUCAUGCGAUUGUAAGGGUGGUGCAAGGAUAGGAGGGGUGAGGCAUGAGGCCAUUCUUUUUAGACAAAAUUACAAUAAUGAUCUUUGUGGUUUGCUAAAAGUCACAAUCAGUCCCUCCUAAUUUUUUUGAUGCAAAUGGUCCUUGUGGUUUGCAAAACUUGCACGUAUGACCCUUUUUACUAAUUCCGUUAGUAUUUAGCCGUUAGGGUAAGAGUAUUUUCGUCUUUUUAGGUAUAAAGGGACUAAAUUUGUGAUAUUUGGUAAACUACAGGGACUAUUUUUGAAAUUUGUUUGAAAAAGUGAAUUAUUUGGAUUAAGGGAGGGCUCGAACGCAAGACCUCCACCUCUUAGGUAGCCAAAGCUUCAACCAGUUGAACUACAUGUACAAUUGGUUUAUACUUUCCAAAUAGUAAUUUAGAUAAUAAUGAAAACGUUAAAACAUAAACAAUAAAUAAAUUACAAAAACAUUUUUUACAUAUUUUUUUUAAAUAAAACAAAAUGUAUUUCAAUUGUAUUAUAAAAAAAAAUUUACAAACAAUUUGAAUGUAUUUUUAUGUAUUUAUUUUACAUAAAAUGUAUAUUUUUUUUUUCUUUAAAAAAUACGACUUCGUAUAAAAAAUACGUUUUCAUAAAUAGUAAUGAUUAACACUACUUAUGACAUAAAAAAAUGUAUAAAUUCUUUUGGAUCGAUAGUUCUAAAACCGGUGUUAAAUAUUAGUAUACAAAAAUGUAUUUUUUAAAUACAUAAAAAAAAUAUAUUCUAUGAAAACGUGUUUUUUAUACGAAAACAUAUUUUUUAAAGAUAUAAAAAAUAUUUUACGAAAAUGUAUUUUAUACGAAACUGUAUUUUUUAAAGACAAAAAAAAAAAAAAUACAUUUUAUGUAAAAUAAAUACAUAAUAAUACAUACAAAUUGUUUGUAAUUUUUUUAUAAGACAAUUAAAAUACAUUUCGUUUUAUUUAAAAAAAAUAUGUAAAAAAUGUUUUUUGUAAUUUUAUUGUUAAUAUUUUAACGUUUUCGUUUUAUAUAAACUAUUAUUUGGAAAAUAUAAACGAAAUAUACAUGCUGCUCAAUUGGUUAAGGAUUUGGUUAUUUAAGGGUUGGAGGUCUCGAGUUCGAGCCCUCCCUUUUCAUUUAGCCAACAAAUUAAUCUUUUCAAACAAAUUUCAAAAAUGCGCCCUGUGGUUUACCAAAUAUUAUCAAUUUAAUCUCUUUAUAUAUGAAAAGACGAAAAUGCCCUUACCUAUUAACAGAGUUAGUAAAAAGGGCCAUCUGUAUAAGUUUUGCAAACCAUAAAGACAAUAUCAAAAAAUAAAAAUAAACAGGGACUGACUUUGUGACUUUUAGCAAACUAUAGGGACCAUUUUGUAAUUUUCUCUUCUUUUUAUAUNUUAAUGAGUUUUGUUGUUGGCUAAAUGCACUGGAUCAAUUAUUUAAAAGAUUUGACAAUAAAUUUGUUAUAAUCACCUUGUAGUUGCUUCCACUAAACUUAUCAAUGCACAUUUAAUUCUAAUGCGAUGGCAUCGUCUUCAUGCAACUUCUACAUUGGACCUACAUGUUUGUUGUUGGCUAAAUGCACCAGAUCAAUUAUUUAAAAGAUUUGACAAUAAAUUUCUUAUAAUCUCCUUAUAGUUUCUUCCACUAAACUUAUCAAUGCACAUUUAAUUCUAAUGUGAUGACAUCGUCUUCAUGCAACUUCCACAUUGGACCUACAUGUUUGUUUAAUUCUAAUACGAUGUCAGCUAUUGUGUGGACGUGUGGACAAUGUUAUUCUAUGAUAAUUACUAAGAGAAUAUGUAGUUUAGUAAUGUGAAUACGUUCAACCUCACAUAAUUAUCGUCAAUUUCAUGCAUUCUCACUAAUUCUUAUUCAUUUUUGCUCUCAUGCAUCGUUUUUCACUCAAUUUCAUUCUUACAGAAUACGACCCAAUAAGCAUUCUGACAAUAUUCCAACAGAAUGAGAAUAAUAAUAAAAAGUCUAUAAUAACGUUAUAGACGAUUUAUUUAGUGACAAUGUGUGAUAAUUACAAUAGUUAUGUAAGAUUGAACAUAUUCACACUAUCAAACAACAUAUUUUAUUUGUCAAUCUCACAGAAUAGCCAUGUCCACAUGUCCGCACAAUAGAUGUCAAUCCAUAUUUGAAUCUAGUUCUCUCUCUCUCUCUCUCUCUCUCUCUUUCUCUCUCUCUCUCUAUAUAUAUAUAUAUAUAUAUAUAUAUAUAUAUAUAUAUAUAUAUAUAUAUAUAUAUAUAUAUAUGGAAAAGAUCAAAUGAGAAUCACUAAAAUUAAAGAACCAUUUCAUUAAGGGUAUUUUUGUGUAUUUAACAUAAACAAUAAGAAAACACACAAAAACUUCAUUUUAAAAUCAGAUAUAUCUUCUCAAAUGAUAAAUCCUUUCAAACUCUUUGUUGAUUUAUCUUCCCUAUCACCACCACCACCUAUUAUCGCCGACACCACCGACACCGACACCGCUGUUUCCGACCGCUUAACCUUCGCCAGAAUGGCGAGUCAGUCAUGUUUUUUUUUGCUUCAGAUCUGGAACCACAACAAAAAAUGACAUCACCGAGGUGUUUCUACUUCGAAUCUACCAUCGACCGCCACACCACCGCUUGUCAUCUCCGACAACAUAAUUCAGAUGACUUUUUUUUGUGUUUCUUGCUCAAAUCUAACCAGAUUUGAAUGAUUCUACUGAUUUUUCUCAUCUUUGAUUGAGUUACCAGUCUAGAUCUUUCGAGAUGUGGUCAGAUCUAGAGCCUCCACUUUCUGAUAUGCCAUCAAUUUCGCCUCCACCUUCAGAUCUAACACUUUUUGUCAUCGGAAUACUAUAUCUACCACCAAAUCUUCCAUACCGAUGUCUAGAUCUACAUGCUCCGGUCCAGAUUUUCGAUUUCUGCCCCACGAUGUCUAAAUUUGUGAGGUACGACAAUAUUGAAAGAGUUUCAACGAGAUCUGUGUCAUGUUCGUCACGUUGCACAUUUGGUUUUGUGUUCUUGUAACAACCUAAAAACCAAGGGUAAAAAUUUCAUUUAUAAUAUAACUAAAACGUAGAUACCAUUUAUUUUAAACAUUCCAAAUCAUCAUUAAGUAAAUCAUUUAUCAGAGUUUAUCCCAAAAUCAUUCAUUGCGAAAAUCAUAGGGGUGUGCACUGCGAUCAAUCCGAGCUCUUCUCUUUCCAAAUCAAUGAUACCUGAAACCAAAACUGUACACUGUAAGCACAAAGCUUAGUGAGUCCCCCAGAGCAUACCCAUACACAAUCCAUAUAAUACAAAACAUAUUAGCUAUAAAAGCUAUCUCUACCGCAUACCACAUAUCAAUUAGCUAUAAGGGUUACCUCUACCACAUAAUACAAAUCAAUUAGCUAUAAAAGCUACCUCUACCACAUAUCACAUAUCAAUUAGCUAUCAAGCUAUCUCUACCAUUAGCCACAAAGGCUAUCUUUACCAUUAGCCGCAAGGGUUAUCUCUACCUUUAGCCACAAAGGCUAUCUCUACUAUUAGCCAGAAGGUUAUCUUUACCGCAUAUCAUGCAUACAUACAUAUCACACACCUCUACAUAGCAAGUAUACCGACUAUCAUAAAAUGGGUAGCCUUGGUGCCUUAGACCCAUUGGUAUGGUGAGAAGUGAUGGGUUUUGGUCAUAAGAACAUCCUAUGUGCUCAUACAAACCCUAAUGCUUAGAUCUAGGUUUCUCUAUUGUACAUGCAAUUUAUCCAAGACUAUAAACCAUAGAUCUAGCAUAUGAUAAUCAAUAUAACAUAUAAUUAGGUUUUAGAUCAUACCUUGAUUGUUAUGUAGCAAUAACAAUCUCAAAUCCUUUUUGUAUUGACUUUAGAAAAUUUAGAGUCACAAAUGUCACUCCUCUAAUGGUUCACAAACACCAAGAGCAAGAGGAUGAAGAUGAAAAGAGAAGGAGGCUGCCCAAAACAUGUGGAAACCCUAGAAGGAAGCUUGUCCACGUUUUUGAGGCAUAAGGGCACCAUAUAUAGUGAGGCUAUUAGGGUUAUCUAACAAGGAAACCCUAAUUUGGAUGCUUAAGCCCUAAGCAACCCAUUCACUCCUUUCCUUAAAGGCCUUGGACGAUUUCUAAUGGGUUUCCCCAUAGAGUUCGUCCACUCCUCAAUAUAAGGCAAUCCAUAGCCCAAAUUGCAAUUGUCUUAUAAUUACAAUUCCUUUAAUUAAUCUCUUUUAGUCACAAAACUAAUUACCAAUUAAUUCUUGAUUAAUAUUAAUUAAACAAUAUGAUUUCUCCUUUAAUAUAUUAUUCUCAUAAUAUAUUAAUAAAUCAUAUUUAAUCCUUUCUCUCCAUAAUUCAUCCUAUCAAGUUGCUUUGGUGAAGGCAACCCAAAAGGACCAUGCACCAUCUGGUCAAGUAUAUACCAAAAUAGUUAUGGAUUUAGACACUAAUCCAACAAGAAGAAUCACCUCUCGACUGCUGAAUUGAUAAGCUGAAAUCAGACAUAUCCCAUACGCUGCUCCUUUUCAACUGCCCAUAAUCAUCUGGUGAUUAACUUGACAUAAACCCAUAAAUACCCUCAGGUCAACCCUGGUCAAAGUCUAUGUCUGUAGUCAAGGUCAACAGUCCAUAUUGACCUUGACUCGUUGGGUUCCUUGCUUAACUCGUCAACUCGCCGAGUCACCCGAGAGACUCGUUGAGUUCCUUGAUGUUUACGGCCAUAAACUUCCUACCGAACACCCUUGACCGUGAACCCUUGGCCGUGAAUGAGAAAACCCUCCCGACUCGCCGAGUCACAAGAGCGACUCGACAAGUUCCCACAUAUUCAGUCAUUUCCAGUGGGAUUUAAGGCCCCAAACUUUAGAUCCAUAUUCUCCUAGUGAUAAUACCAUGUAAAGUUGCCAACUUUGCGUUCAUACUAAGUCUUAUAAUGCCAAAACCACAUCAACAAGCUUCUUAAAAGUCCCUAAUGCAUGAAUAAGAAUUAGGGUGCACCAAGGAGACAACUUUAUGACAUUUGGGACCUAAAAGGUCCAGAUCUGGAACCAUCCUUGUGAUAGAUCCAGAUCCAAACUUGGUUCCAUUUCUUCAAGGAUGGCCACGUCACCUCAUAUCGCAUAUCAGCCUUCAAACUUAGAAAAAACAUAACUCUCGCAUACGAGCUCCGUUUUCGACAUUCUUUUUUUAACGCGUAGGUAAAAUCAAGAUCUACAACUUUCAUUUAGACUCCGUCGGCUAAUUCUCGACCGAUCUCAAAUUUAACAGUAGGAGGCGUUUAGACUGUUAAAUGACUGCAAAGAAUUCGUAACUCCUUCAUACGGACUCCGUUUUUGUCUAUAUUUUUACCGUUGAGUUCCUAUUAAUGAGAUCUUUAACUCUUAUUUAGGUCGCGUAAGCCAAAAACCACUCGAACUAAAAUUCGAGUUUCGGGUCGUGCACUGCUAAGCCGAAUCUUCGAAAAAUCAUAACUUCCUCAUACGGAGUCAGAUUUGGGAGUUCAUUUUAUGGAUGUUCUCGAGUUAACAUAUACUAUAACUUUGGUUUAGAUUGCUAAGGCUAAAAGUCGCUCCAUCAUAAAUUUACUAUUUACGCUUCCCGGUGUCGUGCCAGUUUUGCCGUAAAACUUCGACGGACCAUAACUUCUUCAUUAUAACUCAGAUUUCGGCGUUCUUUAUAUUUACGGAAACCUUGAGACAUAUUCUACAACUUGGUUAAGACUAUUUAUUAUAAAUAAUAUUUUGCCAAAAAGUCGUUUUCGACCUCUAUUAUCUCUAAAUUGACUAGCCCGGAUCUACGGGCGUUACAAUGAAAGUUGUAGAACUAGUAAAAAUAAUCAACUUUCAUAUAAAGACUGUUUUAAUCUGACUUCCUAUGAGGAAGUUAUGAUUUUUCUAAGUUUCAGAUUAGCAGUAGACAGUUAAAAACUCGAAGUAAAGAUCGAGCGAUAUUUAGCCGAAACAACCUAAACGAGAAUUGAAGGUCUUGUCAAUAGUAGUACGACGGUAAAAAGUCUGACGAAAACGGAUGUCGGAUAAAGAAGUUAUGAAUUUUUAACGGAUUUUCCUGUCCCGGUCUGUUAAAAAUAAUAAUAUUAAAAUUAAUGUCAAAAUUAGCCGACGAAGUCUAAACGAAAUUUGUAGAGCAUAAUUUUAGCUACGCGUGCAUAUAAAGAACGUAAAAAACGGAGCUCGUAUGCGAAAGUUAUGGAUUUUAGAAGUUCGGGGCACAAAAAUCGAGAAAAAAAUGCAAAAUCCGAGAAAUUUCGCAUGAAAUUAGUGCCAGCCACAUCAUCCCUCGCAUGCAGCCUCCACAUGUUACCUCCUGAUAGGACCGAGGUUUGUUGUGUCGCCUUUUGAUUGGACCAAUUCCACGGUCCACUAAGCCUCGGACACCUUCGCAUGACCCUUAGACCUUCGUGGAGCCUGCCCAUUGGACCGAAGUUGGGUCCAGUCCAAAGCUGCCAUCUACGAGCCGACUGUUUCGACCUUCGCAUCCGAGCCUCGCCCUUCUGCUGCGUAUCCGAGCUUCGCUGCAACCUGGCCCUUCCCUCUUGCUUCAGAUCCGAGGCUCGCACCUAUAUAAGGGGUGCGAGACCUCCCGGGUAAAUGUUAGAAAAUUGCCACUUUUUACCCCUAAACUUAUAUUUCUUCUACUUCCACUUCCCCCGAAGCCCCGAUAUCAAUUUUAGCACCCGAAACACGCCCCGAAGUGCCCGAAGACCCUAAUAAAUUUAUCUUUUCAGUUUGAAGCCCUACCUUCGCAGAGCCUGGUUUAGAAGAAAGCUCUCGAUUUUUAUAGAAGAAAGCUAUCUAUAGUAACGAAGCGCUGCACAAAUUACUAUUUUAACCCCCGGUUAUUUCAAAGUGAGUUCCAUAUAUAGGAACAAUUGUAUGUUAUGUUUUAUAUGUGCUAUGUGCUUUUUUCCGUAUUAUUAUCUCGUGUUGUUAUUUCAUGCUAUAUUUGUAGCAAAGUUAUACCUUUGACCAUGUGAUCAGUGAAAGGACUUAGAUUCACGGUGGUACUGAUAUGUAGCCUCUGGCCAUGUAGAACAUGUGUUGUAACAGAAUGACUUCUAUUCUAUGGCAUUGACAGAAGGUUAGAUGUGACAUCCCCAAUUUCACGGCCAGAAAAGACCGAUUUGUUUAUGCUUUGUUUUAUAAAAUCAGAGUAAAUCCUUUUGAUUAAAAGAUUUGUGGAAUUUGUUCCCAAAACAAAAUAUGAUAAAAUUUAUCAAAACGUUUCUCAAAGAGAAUGUAUUUUUAUUAAAUAAUAAAACCUCGGGAUGUCAUGUUCGAUACAGACCAAAAACAUAAACAAUAUAAAAUAGACCUUACAACAGUUAUUUGUAACUACUGAUCUAUAAUCCAAAAUCUCUCAUCAAGUCCACCAAUUUAUACUCUUGUGCCAUUACCUGUAAUGCAAAGAAUACUGAGUGGGUCAGGCUUGGGAGCCUGGUGAGCAUAUAGGGUUUUCAUCCCACAGUAAUACAUUUAUUAUAUUCAAUUAUCAAACAAUCAACCCAAAUACUCAUUCCCAUUAUCUCCUUUAUUUCUUAAGGAUUUACCCUAAGAAUCAACUAUCCUCUAUCCAUUUAUUCCUAAGGAUUGACCUAAGGAAUUGACACAAAGUCCACCACUACCAAGGUCCACAAAUUACGACUGGUAAACACUUAGUUCAACAUACUUAACAAACACCUAGUUCUAAUACUCCUAGUGAACAAUUAAUUCAAAACAUCUGGUGAAUACUUAGUUCUAAAACACUUAGUGAGCACACUCAGUUCAACAAUACCAAGUGAACACAUCUAGUUCAAAAAUACUUAAUGAACACAUUGAGUCCAAAAAUACCAAGUGAACACAUAGAGUUCGGAAAUACCUAAUGAACACAUUGAGUUCAAACACCAAGUGAACACAUAGAGUUCAAAAAUACCUAAUGAACACAUUGAGUUCAAACACCAAGUGAACACAUAGAGUUCAAAAAUACCUAAUGAACACAUUGAGUUCAAANNNNNNNNNNNNNNNNNNNNNNNNNNNNNNNNNNNNNNNNNNNNNNNNNNNNNNNNNNNNNNNNNNNNNNNNNNNNNNNNNNNNNNNNNNNNNNNNNNNNNNNNNNNNNNNNNNNNNNNNNNNNNNNNNNNNNNNNNNNNNNNNNNNNNNNNNNNNNNNNNNNNNNNNNNNNNNNNNNNNNNNNNNNNNNNNNNNNNNNNNNNNNNNNNNNNNNNNNNNNNNNNNNNNNNNNNNNNNNNNNNNNNNNNNNNNNNNNNNNNNNNNNNNNNNNNNNNNNNNNNNNNNNNNNNNNNNNNNNNNNNNNNNNNNNNNNNNNNNNNNNNNNNNNNNNNNNNNNNNNNNNNNNNNNNNNNNNNNNNNNNNNNNNNNNNNNNNNNNNNNNNNNNNNNNNNNNNNNNNNNNNNNNNNNNNNNNNNNNNNNNNNNNNNNNNNNNNNNNNNNNNNNNNNNNNNNNNNNNNNNNNNNNNNNNNNNNNNNNNNNNNNNNNNNNNNNNNNNNNNNNNNNNNNNNNNNNNNNNNNNNNNNNNNNNNNNNNNNNNNNNNNNNNNNNNNNNNNNNNNNNNNNNNNNNNNNNNNNNNNNNNNNNNNNNNNNNNNNNNNNNNNNNNNNNNNNNNNNNNNNNNNNNNNNNNNNNNCCACGUCGUGGUCUCUGACAGUUUUGGGGUUUCGCGCCCCGAACUUCAGAUAUUCAUAACUUUCGCAUACGAACUCCGUUUUCGACAUUCUUUAUAUCGACACGAAGGUAAGAUUAUGCUCUACAACUAUCGUUUAGACUCCAUUGGCUAAUUUUGACUUUAUUUUUAAUAUAUUAUAAAUAUAUUACUUAUAUAUUAUCUUUAGUAGACCGGGAUAGGAAAACUCCGUUCGAAAUUCAUAACUCCUUCAUCUGAACUCCGUUUUCGUCCGUCUUUUCGUCGUUGCACUACUAUCGAUGAGAUCUUCAAUUCUCAUUUAGAUCACUAAGGAUAGAUAUCUAUCUACCUUAAAUUCACUAUUUACGUCGCGCUGGGUCAUGCCGGUUCUGUCACGAAACUUCGAUAGGUCAUAACUUCUUCGUUAUAACACGGAUUUUGGCGUUCUUUAUAUGCACGGAAACCUUGUGACAUAUACUACAACUUGGUUAAGAUUAAUCCUUCUAAAUAAUCUUCCAUCAAAAAGUCAUUUUUGAUGCUUAUCGUCUUAAAACUGACUAGCCCUAAUCUAUGGGCGUUACAUUAGAUAGGACUGGUAUGUAGCCUCUGACCAAGUAGAGCAUGAGUCCGUAAGAGAAUGACCUGUAUUCUAUGGUAUUGGAAAAUGGUUAGACAGGGCUAUAAGCCUGAAAUCUACCAAAAUGUUAAUCAGAAAUUGUAUGUCUUCUGUGCCAUUUGGGCCAAAGCUUUAUUGAUGCAUAUCAAGUAUUGAAAUCGUUAUGUCUCAUUGAUCGUAAAUCUUUGAAUCAAAUCUUGAGUUGAUAUUGAAAGUCUGACAUAUGAUGCGCAUAUGCUAUUAUUGUUCUUGUUCCUCUUUGCUUCUGUCAUAUUGGUAUAUAUAUAAGGCAUAAGAUUAUAUUGUAUCUAUUUAUUGAAUUCACUAAGCGUUAUCACUUAUCCCGCUCAAUGUUUAACAAUUGCAGGUGAUGAGUAUCCAAUAUAGUUUUAUACUGCUGAAAGAUUUAGAAUAGUUAAUACUAUUUCUCUGUAUUUUGUAAUCGCUUUAUCAAUAUAAAAUAUUGUUUUAUAAAUAUGCAUGUAGCAUGUUUUGAGGAAGCAACUUAAGAGUAAUGUUGGAAUAAUAUGAAAAUUUGGGUCUUUCAGAAAUAAGAAAGUUGGGGUCUUUCAAGAAUCGUGAAAAAAAUAACAACAAGAUCUAGAUCUAUCAAAAACCGAUCUAGAUCUAGUAAACCACAACACAAGUACCAAAAGAAAGCAAAAACUCAUUGAACAGACCAACAGAUCUAGUAAACUAGAACAAAAAAAGAACUCGUUGAACAAAACCAUAUCGAUCUAGCAAAUCAAGAAUUUGUUGGAAAGCGUGGAGAGCCCCUGAUCCAAUGGGUUGUGUGUUUUCAUGGGUUUUAAGGUAUUUAAAGGCUCUUAUGGUUUGAUCAUUUUCAGUAUCCAACACCCCUAUAUCAUUCCUUGAGUGAAACCUUAGCCUCCUUUGAGUAAAUUGAGCUUAUCCUCUCUCGUUGAACGAUUUUUGGGUGUAUUUUGGUGAUGUUUGAAUAUCAAGAACAUCUAGUUGGUUGCAAGGGAUGUUGUUUCAAGCUUGGAUUCAUAAAGUUCAAACCUUUUUUAGACUCUUGUAAGUAAAAAGCUUUAACAUUUCCUUUCUAGUUGUUAGAUCUUGCUAAUGGUCCUUUUUAUGUAAUUUUGGUCCAUUUUUUGGGUGAUCUUGGAGUUGAGUGGACUCCAACAUCUUUUGAUCAGUUUGGUUAUCUUGGUCCUUUAGGUCAUUUUGGUGUAUUAAAGUUUAGAUCUUGAACUUUGUGGCAUUAUUAUAGAUAAAGUUGGAAACUUUAGCCAUGUAAACAUCAUGUUGAUUUAAAUAUGAAGGUUUGCGACUUGGACUUAAUGGAUUAAGUUGAGAAAAAUAAACUCUUAGUUCCUUUGAGACUGUAAUUCUAGAUCUUGGUUGUUUGGACCAUCCUAAUGGAUAAAUUUGGAAACUUUAUCCAUUAUGAAGCUAUUAGGUACCAUAUAUGAUGUUAUGAGCCUUGGUCUUUAAUUAUUAAGCUCUUAAUGAAGAAAAGGACAUUCUGCCAGAGACCACAAUGUAGCCAAGGAAGGCCCAUAACAUAAUGGUGCUCUACCUCGCGAUUGUUUUGCUGUUUGGCAGCCACGACGUGGUCAACAAUUGGCCAUGACGCGGUGGUCCGUUGAGUUGACUAUGAUUGUUGACUUUUGACCAAUUUGACUUUUGGUCAAACCUUGGUAGAAUUGAGUGUUUAACUAAGAACUAGUCUCGAUUUGGCAUUAAGUAGCUUGUGUUAGUUGUUCUGUUGUUGAGGUUGCUGUUGAGCUUCUAUUGGUUAGCUCUGGUGAGUUUUCUCACUAAACUUUAUACUACAAUAUGUAUCCUUGUGUAUAGGAUGUUGUUAUGCUGUUGUGAUUCGUUAGUCAGGCAAAUAUGGUAUGAUUACCUAUGUUUGUCUGAUAUUGUUGUUUGCACAUGUCGACAUAUUGUGGUUGGUUUGAGGCAGUUCUAUUGUUUGCUGAAGGCCAAGAUACCUGGGCGGUCAAUGUGUAUUGUAGGCCUUGCGAGGUGGUCUAGUCAGACUGAAGGCCCAAGGAGAGCAGUCCAACCUUGUGUUGUAGGAUCAAGAGAACGGUCCAGCUAUAUGUUGUAGGCUCAGGAGAGCGGUCUAGCUAUAUGUUGUAGGCUUAGGAGAGCGGUCCAGGUGUACUGUAGGCCUUGUGAGGCAGUCCAGUCAGAUUGCAGGCUUAUGUAUACAUGCAUUUUAUGUGUAUUAUAUAUGCGGGGUAUUUUGGGAAACUCGUUAAUCUUUGUACUUACAAUUAUGGAUUAAAUGUUUUUUCAGGUACUUUAUCAGUUUAUAGGAAGGUGAAGACGUUACUAUACAUACCCAACAACAAUUUAAUGAUUUGAGAUUUCGUGGCACUUUUCUUUAUAACUCUGAUU